GACGAACGCUGGCGGCGUGCUUAACACAUGCAAGUCGAACGGAAAGACCCUGCUUUUGUGGGGUGCUCGAGUGGCGAACGGGUGAGUAACACGUGAGUAACCUGCCCUUGACUUUGGGAUAACUUCAGGAAACUGGGGCUAAUACCGGAUAGGAGCUCCUGCUGCAUGGUGGGGGUUGGAAAGUUUCGGCGGUUGGGGAUGGACUCGCGGCUUAUCAGCUUGUUGGUGGGGUAGUGGCUUACCAAGGCUUUGACGGGUAGCCGGCCUGAGAGGGUGACCGGCCACAUUGGGACUGAGAUACGGCCCAGACUCCUACGGGAGGCAGCAGUGGGGAAUAUUGCACAAUAGGCGGAAGCCUGAUGCAGCAACGCCGCGUGCGGGAUGACGGCCUUCGGGUUGUAAACCGCUUUCGCCUGUGACGAAGCGUGAGUGACGGUAAUGGGUAAAGAAGCACCGGCUAACUACGUG
This 468-nucleotide ribosomal RNA is filed under the name uncultured bacterium. RNAcentral describes it as "partial 16S ribosomal RNA". It matches the Rfam family "Bacterial small subunit ribosomal RNA", at positions 28 to 507 of the family's 1533-position model. The record is from RNAcentral.